UGGAAGGACCCUGGCCGACUACAAUAUCCAGAAGGAGUCCACUCUUCACCUUGUCCUCCGUCUUCGUGGUGGUGUCUGAACGUUGCCGGUUGGGGCUUCAUGUUUGUGGUUUGUGUGUUGGAACUUCCGUAGAAUCUUUAUCGAUUUUAUGGUUUAUUUGAAACAAUCGAUUGGGGUUUCCCCCCAAUCUCAAUAAUGAAUGUACGGUUUUCUAUUUUUUCUUCGUUGUAAUGUUUGAUGUGCUCUGUUUUGGAGCAUAACUGUAAAAUUGUGUGCUUGUGGGUUGAUUUGUGUGAAAUGUGGGGAUAUGUUUCUGGCUAUAUGUUAUAUUGCCCUAUGUUUUCUUGUGUCUUAAUUGUUGAUGUGUCUUGAUUGUGCUUGAGCAAUUGAAUUUUGCCUUUCCUUUUUGUUGUUUGAUCCAAUCAAAUGCUAGUAGAAUCUAAUCUUUAGACUGUUCAAUUAUCCGAAUGUCUAUUUACCUUCGGGGUCGGUUUUGACUAUAGACGAGAGAGGCGAUCUAGCUUUGGCCCCCAAUUAUUAGGAAACAUUAGGGACUCCGUAAUACUAUUUUGUACUCUUUAUAUUUUAGUCAUAGUAUAAAGUAAUAUUGAAAAUAUAUAAAUAGUUCAACAAUUUGGAUAACCAUAAUUAAUUAAUUAUAGUGUAUAUUAUCUUACAUAAAGUUUGAAACUUUUACACUUAUUCUUGCAUUUGAUUGUUAAAUGAAAUUAUCUUCGAUCAAUUAUAAUUAUUUAGAUAUUGAGUUCAUCUAUCAAUUUUAUAUCUAAUUUCAAGAUUCUAAACUUUUUUCAGCAAUCUUUCUAUUUUUAAAUAAUCUACAUUGCAUAUCUCUUUUUUUUUUUUUGAGAGUAAAAACAAUUUCAUUUCAUUAAAUUAACCCAUGACCAACAAUAUUUUGGACAUUAAUAAGCAAAGAAUCACCAAAAUAUGACUCACAUAUAGAGAGCUUAGCUAGUGCAUGUGCAACACGAUUACCAGUCCUUCGUAAUUGCUGAGCUGAGAAUGUCCCAAAAAUCUUAGCAAGGACAUGAAUGUCGGCUACUAAAGUCCCAUACGCUGAAUAAUCUUCAUCAACUUCAUUUAUUGCCUUAAUGACCAAGCUAGAGUCUCCUUCAAUGACUAACCUUCUCCAUGUUUGAUCACGAGCAAAUUCAACUGCAACGAAAGCUGCUUUUGCUUCCGCCGAAGUAGGGUCGAGUGCUUACCGGACACAAAUAGACUUCCGUCCCAUACAAACCCCAGUAUGAUUUCGAGCAAUGAUUCCAAGUCCAAUCUUUCCUUCCUUCGAAUUAAUAGCCGCAUCGAAACUGAUCUUAACAAAACCCAAUGGUGGUGGCUGCCAUCUUGCCUCCUCAAUACAACUCGGGCUCCUAAGACUAAGUACUUUGGCAAAGGGAUGACGAACUUGGUUUACAAAGUUUAGCGCAAAAGAGGCGACGUCCAUAGGUUCGACCAAAUCGUCUUCAAAAAGGUUCUAUNNNNNNNNNNNNNNNNNNNNNNNNNNNNNNNNNNNNNNNNNNNNNNNNNNNNNNNNNNNNNNNNNNNNNNNNNNNNNNNNNNNNNNNNNNNNNNNNNNNNAAUUAGCUCGGGUGGGUAAUAGAUUUUACAUGCUCUCCACACAAAUAUUUUGAUCUUAUUAGGCAAAUUCAUCGACCACACCCACUUCCACGCGUUUGUUGUAUCAACGUACGAGUCUCUAUACCUUCAAAGAGUUUCGGCAAAUUGAAAUAUACUAUAUUUUAUUUUAUUAUAGUUAAACAAUUUUCUUUUAUAUACUUACUUGUUCAAUAAUAUUUAUAUAACUAUUUUCAAAAAAUUUUGGGGCUCUACCGUAAACUCUGUAAACUUUUGAUUUAACUUAACUUCAUCAAUAUUUAGUUAUAUUUUCUAAAAAAAAAAUUAAUUGUUAAUCAAAAAAUUAUUUUCCAUGUGGAAUGAAUUAAUGUUUACAUUAGACAUGGCCACGGACCGGGUCGGGUCCGGGUCCGGGUCUUACUUUUUCGGGACCCGAAACCAAACCCCGUGGAGGCGGGUCCGGGUCCGGGUCGGGUUCACUUGGGUCCUUCCGGGUCCGAGUCGGGUCCACUCGUGUCCUUCCGGGUCCGUGUCGGUUCCGGGGACCCAAGUUUCUAGCCGUUGUAAUUUAAAAAAAAAAAACAUUUUUUGAAUUCUCGGACCGGGUCCGGUUCGGGUCCAUUUUAUGGCCGUUGCAUUUUCAAAAUUUGAAAAAAAAAAAAAUUUAUUCAGGUGGACCCGACGGAUACCCGUCCGUUGGGUCCUCGGGUCCACCCGCCGGGUCUCGGGUCCAAAAUAUCGGGACCCGAAACCGACCUAUACAUUUUCGGGUCCGGGUCCGGGUCCAUGGUCAACGGGGGCAGUCGCCGGUUCCGGGUCAAACCCGGCCCGUGGCCAUGUCUAGUUUACAUUAUAGAAUACAAAUAAGGAGGCCAUUUUUACAAGAUCUUAAAACUGGCCUAGUACCCCCAAUUUCUCAGAAACGAACUUGUUUACCCUUGACCAAAUAUUUAGGAAAUUAUAUUGUUCUCCCAUGAAUUUAGUACAAAUUAUAUAUUGACUUUUUGUUAUUUUUAAAAUAUAUUACCAAAAUCUUCUUUAAUAUAAAAAACACACAAAAAAAAAAUUAAAUUCAAUAAAUAACUGUUUUGUUCAUCCAAUUUAGAACCUUAUAAGAUGUUAAAAUGAGCUUAUAAGAUGUUUUAGAGCUUAUAAGCUCUUCCAAAGUGUUUGGUAAAUUUUUAGAAAAAGAUCUUAAUUUUUUUAAAAAUAAGCUGUUGGAGAGCAAAUAAGAUCUUUUUAAAUAAGUACAUCUACCCCACCUUUUUAUUUAAGAUCUUUUAAUGAGUAAAAAUAGGAAAUAAGCCCUUUAUCCAAACACUCUAAAAAUUAAUCCUAAAAAUAAGAUGUAACAGUUUAUCAGCUCUUAAAACAUCUUAUCAGACGUAAGAGCUUAUCAGCUGUUUAAAAUAAGCUUAGCCAAACACCCUCUUAGAGCCCGUUUGGCUAAGCUUAUUUAAAACAUCUUAUAAGCUCCUACAUCUGAUAAGAUGUUUUAGGAGCUGAUAAGCUGUUAGAUCUUAUUUUAAAAAUUAUUUUUUAAGGUGUUUGGAUAUGUAGCUUAUAAGUUACUUUUUGUUUUUAUAAGUUGUUCAGGUGUUUGGAAAUAAAAGGUCUGUUUAUUGCUAUAAUGACAAAAAAGUACAUGACGCCAGUAUAAUUGUUAAACUUAUUUGACUCAAAUACUUUUGUUCCUAAAAUAUUAUUAUAGUAUUUACAAAUUAUUUUUUCAAAUAAUAAUAAUAAUAAUAUAAAAUAAAAAUUGUAAAAGAAAUAUAAUUUUUUUUAGAUGAAAGAAAUAUAAUUUAUUAUGGAGAUAAUAAGAAUAUUCGUGUAUUUUUAUAUACAUAUAAAAUAUAAAUAGAGAAUAAUUUUCUUUACAAUUAUUAUGAUAAUUACGAUAAUUAUAUUUAACUAAUUAUUAAUCUUGAUUACAAGAAUACGUUGUUUUGAUAAAAUAUAAAUAUUAUUAGUAAUUAUGUAAUAUAAUAAAGUAUUUGAGGGUAAUUUUGUAUUUUAAAUGUUUUAGUAAAGAAGAAAUAAGAUCUUAAAGAAAAAAAGGUGGGGUAGAGGUAUUUUUUUAAAAACAUCUUAUAAGCUCCCUAACAGCUUAUUUUUGGAAAAAAUAAGAUCUUUUACAAUUUUUUUACCAAACACCUUUUAACAACUUAUAAGCUCCUAAACAUCUUAUAAGAUGUUUUUAGGAGCUUAUAAGCUUAGCCAAACAGGCUCUUAGUUAGACUCAUUCGGACAGUUGACCUAUGUUAUAUCAAUUACCUAUUUUCUUUAGUUUUUUUUCCAAAAUUUAUAAUUACCAAAAUUAAAUCAUAUAUCAAAACGUUUGAUACAAGUUACUCCACAAAUUUGAUUGCCUUCUAGAAUAUUUAAUGUGGAUAUUAUCGUGGGUUCUGUUUAAUUUGAAUUAUUAAAAAUUAUUUUUUUGAGAUUCUCUAUAUAAAAUCAGACAUUAAUUAAGGUUUCUAAUUAUUAUUAGGUCAAAUUGCACUUCACCCCCUUAAAAAAUGCCUUUUUUGCACUUUACCCCCUCAAAAUACAAAAAUGAGACUGCUCCCUUUCAAGAUAUACAACUCGAUGCACUUUGCCCCAAAUGUGUAUUUCGGAUCUCAUUCUUGGUGAAUUACGAGUAUAUACGUCAUUUUACUUUUUCCGCUUGAAAAUCAUCCUUUUAGAGUUACUUAGGGUCCCAAAUUAACAAAAUUCUCGUCCCAAAUUAAUGAAAAUUUGCUUCCAAAUUAGACGAAAUUUUCUUCAAAAUUCGACAAAAUUUGUUCUUUAUUCUUCAUAAGCAUUGUAAUGUAUGGUGAAAAAAUGUUAAAUGACAUUUAAAGCCUUAAAAGAUGAAAUCACCUUUCCAAACUUACUCAAAUCCAACAAGAAUUAAACCGGAAAUACACAAUUUGGAGAAAAGUGCACCGAGUUGUAUAUUUCGAAAUUGGACACUCUAGUUUUUGUAUUUUGAUGGCGGAAAGUGCAAAAGAGGCAUUUUUUUAGGGUGUGAAGUGCAAUUUGCCAUUAUUAUUAUUAUAAUUAUAAUAAUUAUUAUUAUAAUUAUAAUUAUUAUUAUUAUUAUUAUUAUUAUUAUUAUUAUUAUUAUUAUUAUUAUUAUUAUUAUUAUAAUAAUCUACUUGCCUUAAAAAAAUAAAAAGGAAAGAAUUAUUAUUCUCUACCACUCAAAAGGAAAGGACAACUUGCCGUUGCCGUAUAGCAUUGUUGCACUACAAGUCCACCUGACACGUGGCACGAUAUGAUUCGCUAUACCUCCCAAGGCGGUAUCUCCUAAGGUCGGCAUCGCGCCUAUAUAAAGAGGCGUUUCUCGCCUUUACCUUUCAUUCUUAAUCAGAUACAAUCAUCCGAUCUUAUUUCCUCUUAAAAAUCUCUCUACUCCUAUUUUCAAGGUAAUUUUGAUACGCCGAUUUCUGUUUUUUGUUCUUCUUCUUCCGAUCUGUUGAUUGUGUGGUAAUUCGUCGAUCAUGUUGUUGAAUUUUUGGAUCAAUUUUACUUUUUUUUUUUUUUCUGGUGAAUUAAUUUUGAUAUGUCCGAUUUGGAGAUCUAGGUUUUAUUUUCAGUUAAAAGCUGGAACUUGAUUUAUAUCUAGGUUUUCUUUUGUCAGUUCGAAUCUGGUUUAUUGAUUUAAGUUUCGUUUAUUCUCGAUGGAAUCGUGGUGAAUUUGUUUGAUUGUUGACUGCUUAAUCAAUCGAUUUACCUAUUCGAUUUUGGGAUCUAGGUUUUCGUUAUCAGUUAGAAUCUGGAUAUUGAUUCAUCGAUUUAGGUUUUGUUGUCUCUAUUGUAAAUUUGUUUGAUUGCUGACUGCUUUUUCCUGAAUUGUGUUGAGGGAUCUGUCUGCUUCAUUAGUUUUGUAGAAUGUCGUGUUUAUGAUUAUUUCUAUUUGAUCGACUACUAUUUGUUUUCUUCAUGAAUUAUCAUGUGUUUGUGAGAUUUUAGAUAGAAUUCAAUUUUUUUGGGAUAAAAGCAUCUUUUUCUGAUAAUUUUGUAUUGAUGUACAGAUGCAGAUCUUUGUGAAAACUCUCACCGGCAAAACCAUCACCCUCGAGGUGGAAAGCUCAGACACCAUCGACAACGUCAAGGCUAAGAUCCAGGACAAGGAGGGAAUCCCUCCGGACCAGCAGAGGCUCAUCUUUGCCGGCAAACAGCUUGAAGACGGUCGCACACUCGCCGACUACAACAUCCAGAAGGAGUCGACUCUCCACUUGGUCCUCCGACUCCGUGGUGGUAUGCAGAUCUUUGUGAAGACCCUCACCGGAAAGACGAUUACCCUUGAGGUGGAAAGCUCCGACACCAUCGAUAAUGUCAAGGCCAAAAUUCAGGACAAGGAGGGCAUUCCCCCGGACCAGCAGAGACUUAUAUUUGCCGGAAAGCAGCUGGAGGAUGGCCGCACUUUGGCCGACUACAACAUCCAGAAGGAGUCUACCCUCCACUUGGUCCUCCGUCUCCGUGGUGGUAUGCAGAUCUUUGUCAAGACCCUCACCGGAAAGACCAUAACCCUUGAGGUCGAGAGUUCCGACACCAUCGACAACGUGAAGGCCAAGAUCCAGGACAAGGAGGGGAUCCCACCGGACCAGCAGAGACUUAUCUUCGCUGGAAAGCAGCUGGAGGACGGCCGCACUUUGGCUGACUACAACAUCCAGAAGGAGUCUACCCUCCACUUGGUCCUCCGUCUUCGUGGUGGUAUGCAGAUCUUCGUCAAGACCCUCACCGGAAAGACCAUCACCCUUGAGGUGGAGAGCUCAGAUACAAUUGACAAUGUUAAGGCUAAGAUCCAGGACAAGGAGGGUAUUCCUCCGGACCAGCAGAGACUCAUCUUUGCCGGGAAGCAGCUUGAGGAUGGCCGCACUUUGGCCGACUACAACAUCCAGAAGGAGUCGACUUUGCACUUGGUUCUGAGACUUCGUGGUGGUAUGCAGAUUUUCGUCAAGACCCUUACUGGGAAGACCAUCACCCUCGAAGUGGAGAGCUCCGACACCAUUGACAAUGUCAAGGCCAAGAUCCAGGACAAGGAAGGCAUUCCCCCGGAUCAGCAAAGAUUGAUCUUUGCUGGAAAGCAGCUCGAGGAUGGACGUACUUUGGCAGAUUAUAACAUCCAGAAGGAGUCUACACUGCAUUUGGUCCUCCGUCUCCGUGGUGGUAUGCAGAUUUUCGUCAAGACCUUGACUGGAAAGACCAUUACCCUCGAGGUGGAGAGCUCCGACACCAUUGACAAUGUCAAGGCCAAGAUCCAGGACAAGGAGGGUAUUCCCCCAGACCAGCAGAGACUGAUCUUCGCCGGAAAGCAGCUUGAGGACGGCCGCACUUUGGCCGACUACAACAUUCAGAAGGAGUCUACCCUUCACUUGGUCCUUCGUCUGCGUGGUGGUAUGCAGAUCUUUGUCAAGACCUUGACCGGGAAGACCAUCACCCUUGAGGUCGAGAGCUCUGACACCAUCGACAAUGUCAAGGCUAAGAUCCAGGAUAAGGAGGGGAUCCCACCAGACCAGCAGAGGCUGAUUUUCGCCGGAAAGCAGCUCGAAGACGGCCGCACAUUGGCUGACUACAACAUCCAGAAGGAGUCGACUCUGCACUUGGUUCUGAGGUUGAGGGGUGGUAUGCAAAUCUUUGUCAAGACCUUGACUGGCAAGACCAUCACCCUGGAGGUGGAGAGCUCCGACACCAUCGAUAAUGUGAAGGCCAAGAUUCAGGAUAAGGAGGGUAUCCCACCAGACCAGCAGAGGUUGAUCUUUGCCGGUAAGCAGUUGGAGGAUGGAAGGACCCUGGCCGACUACAAUAUCCAGAAGGAGUCCACCCUUCACCUUGUCCUCCGUCUUCGUGGUGGUUUUUGAAAUUUAUGCUCAUGUUCUUGAUUAUAUUUCGUAUUUUCGAACAAUCAAUUGGGGUUUCCCCCCAAUCUAAA
Molecule: long non-coding RNA, 7522 nt
Filed under: Erythranthe guttata (spotted monkey flower)
Lineage: Eukaryota; Viridiplantae; Streptophyta; Magnoliopsida; Lamiales; Phrymaceae
Description: long non-coding RNA (EGUT_LNC001589)
Source: RNAcentral